RNAcentral lists this ribosomal RNA (460 nucleotides) under uncultured bacterium. Its description in RNAcentral is "partial 16S ribosomal RNA". It matches the Rfam family "Bacterial small subunit ribosomal RNA", at positions 338 to 795 of the family's 1533-position model. The record is from RNAcentral.
ACUACGGGGGGCAGCAGUGAGGAAUAUUGGUCAAUGGGCGCGAGCCUGAACCAGCCAAGUAGCGUGAAGGAUGACUGCCCUACGGGUUGUAAACUUCUUUUAUAAAGGAAUAAAGUGAGGCACGUGUGCCUUUUUGUAUGUACUUGAUGAAUAAGGAUCGGCUAACUCCGUGCCAGCAGCCGCGGUAAUACGGAGGAUCCGAGCGUUAUCCGGAUUUAGUAGGUUUAAAGGGAGCGUAGAUGGGUUGUUAAGUUCGUUGUGAAAGUUUGCGGCUCAACCGUAAAAUUGCAAUUGAUACUGGCAGUCUUGAGUACAGUUGAGGUAGGCGGAAUUCGUGGUGUAGCGGUGAAAUGCUUAGAUCUCACGAAGAACUCCGAUUGCGAAGGCAGCUUACUAAACUGCCACUGACAUUGAUGCUCGAAAGUGUGGGUAUCAAACAGGAUUAGAUACCCCUGUAGUC